RNAcentral lists this ribosomal RNA (468 nucleotides) under uncultured bacterium. Its description in RNAcentral is "partial 16S ribosomal RNA". It matches the Rfam family "Bacterial small subunit ribosomal RNA", at positions 28 to 507 of the family's 1533-position model. The record is from RNAcentral.
GACGAACGCUGGCGGCGUGCUUAACACAUGCAAGUCGAACGGAAAGGCCCUGCUUUUGUGGGGUGCUCGAGUGGCGAACGGGUGAGUAGCACGUGAGUAACCUGCCCUUGACUUUGGGAUAACUUCAGGAAACUGGGGCUAAUACCGGAUAGGAGCUCCUGCUGCAUGGUGGGGGUUGGAAAGUUUCGGCGGUUGGGGAAGGACUCGCGGCUUAUCAGCUUGUUGGUGGGGUAGUGGCUUACCAAGGCUUUGACGGGUAGCCGGCCUGAGAGGGUGACCGGCCACAUUGGGACUGAGAUACGGCCCAGACUCCUACGGGAGGCAGCAGUGGGGAAUAUUGCACAAUGGGCGGAAGCCUGAUGCAGCAACGCCGCGUGCGGGAUGACGGCCUUCGGGUUGUAAACCGCUUUCGCCUGUGACGAAGCGUGAGUGACGGUAAUGGGUAAAGAAGCACCGGCUAACUACGUG